CACCCACGCCACGAGUCAGGAGACCCAGCCAGGUGUGAAAUGCUACAGGGAGACUAGGGCUUCCCAGCACCGAGGGGAAGGACCGGGGCACGUUGCCGGGUCAGUCCCUGAAAUGAACUUAAUACCUUUGUGCCAUUAACGGUCUGGCCUUUCAGACCCUCGAUAUGGGCCUCCUGGAAUCAUUCAAGAGGGAGACUCCCACCUAAUAGGCUGGGCUGUCACUGCCAACCCACUCCGUGCCCGGGGCAGGACCCUGGGACCCUCAUUGAGAGCCAUUGGCUUAACCAGGAGAAUCAUGCCCUAAAGUGCACCUUCUUCCGAUCCAUCACUAUGGUCCUUGCCAUCCCUGCCUGUUUUCCAGUGCACUGACCGUCCAUGGAAAUCUUCACCGUCUUCCUCCAGAUACACCUAAAUGUAGCCCUUAUUAUGCUGAGAAUACCUGGCCUACCUCAGGAAGCUGCCAUUCCAACCCACCUGGUUCAAGCUGCUUACGUUAUCGAGGGUUGAAGAACCCAAACCAUCCACAUUUGCCAAAGGUCUGGAAGAGAGGCAUAGCUGGAGAAGGAAGAUCAAGGGAGUGUGACUUCAAGAAGAGCAUGCGGUUGUGUCAGUCAAGAAGAAUGCCAUGCCCUCCUCAACAGCCACACCCUUUUGCAUUUGGCCUGAUGGGAUGUUACUCAUCCAGACAGCAAACCCAUCACAAAGGGAAGAAAGGCUCUGGCAGCCAAGUUCACUAAGAAGAAAGAAGGACAUAUCAAGAGGAUUUAAAAGGUUCACAAUACUGACUUGGAUUUAUUAUUUAUUUAUUUAUUUAUUUAUUUAUUUAUUUUUGAGAUAGGGUCUCACUCUGUGCCCCAGGCUGGAGUACAGUGGCAUAAUCAUGGCUCGUGGCAACCUCAAUCUCCUGGGCUCAAGCGAUCCUCUUGCCUCCGGCCUCCCUAAUAGCUGGAACUACAGGUGCACACCACAUGCCCAGAUAAUGUUUGUAUUUUUUGUAGAGACAAGGUCUCGCUAUGUUGCCCAUGCUGGUCUGGAACUCUUGGUCUCAAGUGAUCCCUGCCCUUGGCCUCCCAAAGUGAUGGGAUUACAGGCGUGAACCACUGUGCACAGCCCCCAAUACUGACUUGUUUAUGCUUUUUACUGUUGUGGUUUUGUUUUUGCUUACAUUUACUGUAAUCAACCUUAUUUAGUAUCAUAAAACUGUAUGGUGUAAAUAUUAUGUUGUCUAAGGUAUACAAGACCAAAAGUAGAGGUUGAAUAGGGUAGAUGCUCUGAUUUUUUUAUAUUACCCUUUUUAAUAAAAAAAAAUACUAUCAAUUGAAUAAUUCCAAUUCCAGUUCUUCCUUGAGAAAAGGAAACUGGUAGCUUUUUUGACUUAGUGCUAUUUGGAAGCUUUGUGCCUUUCUUUGCUUCAUGAAGAGAUCAGAGCAAGAUGUGAGACAAUUCCAUUCAGUCUUCUACAAUGUCACCCUGAG
RNAcentral lists this long non-coding RNA (1475 nucleotides) under Macaca fascicularis (crab-eating macaque). RNAcentral describes it as "lncRNA (ENSMFAG00000055871.1)". The record is from RNAcentral. Lineage: Eukaryota; Metazoa; Chordata; Mammalia; Primates; Cercopithecidae.